GAUGAACGCUGGCGGCGUGCCUAAUACAUGCAAGUCGAGCGAACAGACUAGGAGCUUGCUCCUCUGACGUUAGCGGCGGACGGGUGAGUAACACGUGGAUAACCUACCUAUAAGACUGGGAUAACUUCGGGAAACCGGAGCUAAUACCGGAUAAUAUAUUGAACCGCAUGGUUCAAUAGUGAAAGACGGUUUUGCUGUCACUUAUAGAUGGAUCCGCGCCGCAUUAGCUAGUUGGUAAGGUAACGGCUUACCAAGGCAACGAUGCGUAGCCGACCUGAGAGGGUGAUCGGCCGCACUGGAACUGAGACACGGUCCAGACUCCUACGGGAGGCAGCAGUAGGGAAUCUUCCGCAAUGGGCGAAAGCCUGACGGAGCAACGCCGCGUGAGUGAUGAAGGUCUUCGGAUCGUAAAACUCUGUUAUUAGGGAAGAACAAAUGUGUAAGUAACUAUGCACGUCUUGACGGUACCUAAUCAGAAAGCCACGGCUAACUACGUG
RNAcentral lists this ribosomal RNA (497 nucleotides) under uncultured bacterium. RNAcentral's name for it is "partial 16S ribosomal RNA". It matches the Rfam family "Bacterial small subunit ribosomal RNA", at positions 28 to 507 of the family's 1533-position model. The record is from RNAcentral.